GCUCUUGUGGCGCAAUUGGCUAGCGCGUUUGACUGUUAAUCGAGAGGUUGGUGGUUCGAGCCCACCCAGGAGCG
This is a non-coding RNA of Mycoemilia scoparia, 74 nucleotides long. NCBI's taxonomy places the organism in Eukaryota, Fungi, Kickxellomycota, Kickxellomycetes, Kickxellales, Kickxellaceae. The record is from the annotation of a GenBank genome assembly.